This 1446-nucleotide ribosomal RNA is filed under the name uncultured organism. RNAcentral describes it as "16S ribosomal RNA". It matches the Rfam family "Bacterial small subunit ribosomal RNA". The record is from RNAcentral.
GAACGCUGGCGGCGUGCUUAACACAUGCAAGUCGAACGGAAAGGCCCUGCUUUUGUGGGGUGCUCGAGUGGCGAACGGGUGAGUAACACGUGAGUAACCUGCCCUUGACUUUGGGAUAACUUCAGGAAACUGGGGCUAAUACCGGAUAGGAGCUCCUGCUGCAUGGUGGGGGUUGGAAAGUUUCGGCGGUUGGGGAUGGACUCGCGGCUUAUCAGCUUGUUGGUGGGGUAGUGGCUUACCAAGGCUUUGACGGGUAGCCGGCCUGAGAGGGUGACCGGCCACAUUGGGACUGAGAUACGGCCCAGACUCCUACGGGAGGCAGCAGUGGGGAAUAUUGCACAAUGGGCGGAAGCCUGAUGCAGCAACGCCGCGUGCGGGAUGACGGCCUUCGGGUUGUAAACCGCUUUCGCCUGUGACGAAGCGUGAGUGACGGUAAUGGGUAAAGAAGCACCGGCUAACUACGUGCCAGCAGCCGCGGUGAUACGUAGGGUGCGAGCGUUGUCCGGAUUUAUUGGGCGUAAAGGGCUCGUAGGUGGUUGAUCGCGUCGGAAGUGUAAUCUUGGGGCUUAACCCUGAGCGUGCUUUCGAUACGGGUUGACUUGAGGAAGGUAGGGGAGAAUGGAAUUCCUGGUGGAGCGGUGGAAUGCGCAGAUAUCAGGAGGAACACCAGUGGCGAAGGCGGUUCUCUGGGCCUUUCCUGACGCUGAGGAGCGAAAGCGUGGGGAGCGAACAGGCUUAGAUACCCUGGUAGUCCACGCUGUAAACGGUGGGUACUAGGUGUGGGGUCCAUUCCACGGGUUCCGUGCCGUAGCUAACGCUUUAAGUACCCCGCCUGGGGAGUACGGCCGCAAGGCUAAAACUCAAAGGAAUUGACGGGGCCCCGCACAAGCGGCGGAGCAUGCGGAUUAAUUCGAUGCAACGCGUAGAACCUUACCUGGGUUUGACAUGGAUCGGGAGUGCUCAGAGAUGGGUGUGCCUCUUUUGGGGUCGGUUCACAGGUGGUGCAUGGCUGUCGUCAGCUCGUGUCGUGAGAUGUUGGGUUAAGUCCCGCAACGAGCGCAACCCUUGUUCACUGUUGCCAGCACGUUAUGGUGGGGACUCAGUGGAGACCGCCGGGGUCAACUCGGAGGAAGGUGGGGAUGACGUCAAGUCAUCAUGCCCCUUAUGUCCAGGGCUUCACGCAUGCUACAAUGGCUGGUACAGAGAGUGGCGAGCCUGUGAGGGUGAGCGAAUCUCGGAAAGCCGGUCUCAGUUCGGAUUGGGGUCUGCAACUCGACCUCAUGAAGUCGGAGUCGCUAGUAAUCGCAGAUCAGCAACGCUGCGGUGAAUACGUUCCCGGGGCUUGUACACACCGCCCGUCAAGUCAUGAAAGUUGGUAACACCCGAAGCCGGUGGCCUAACCGUUGUGGGGGAGCCGUCGAAGGUGGGACUGGUGAUUAGGACUAA